Molecule: transfer RNA, 108 nt
Filed under: Bombardia bombarda
Lineage: Eukaryota; Fungi; Ascomycota; Sordariomycetes; Sordariales; Lasiosphaeriaceae
Rfam family: tRNA
About the family: Transfer RNA (tRNA) molecules are approximately 80 nucleotides in length.
Source: Rfam by way of RNAcentral
GCCCGGCUAGCUCAAUCGGUAGAGCGUGAGACUCUUAAAACAGUCGAUGAUCUCUUCUUCGGACUCUAGACAAUCUCAAGGUUGUGGGUUCGACCCCCACGUCGGGCU